AGUUUGAUCCUGGCUCAGGAUGAACGCUGGCGGCGUGCUUAACACAUGCAAGUCAAACGAACCUUCGGGUUAGUGGCGGACGGGUGAGUAACGCGUGAGAAUCUGCCCUCAGGAGGGGGAUAACGGCUGGAAACGGCCGCUAAUACCCCAUAUGCCGAGAGGUGAAAUGAAUUUCGCCUGAGGAUGAGCUCGCGUCUGAUUAGCUAGUUGGUGUGGUAAAGGCUCACCAAGGCAUCGAUCAGUAGCUGGUCUGAGAGGAUGAUCAGCCACACUGGGACUGAGACACGGCCCAGACUCCUACGGGAGGCAGCAGUGGGGAAUUUUCCGCAAUGGGCGCAAGCCUGACGGAGCAACGCCGCGUGAGGGAUGAAGGCCUCUGGGCUGUAAACCUCUUUUAUCAAGGAAGAAGAUCUGACGGUACUUGAUGAAUAAGCCACGGCUAAUUCCGUGCCAGCAGCCGCGGUAAUACGGGAGUGGCAAGCGUUAUCCGGAAUUAUUGGGCGUAAAGCGUCCGCAGGCGGUCUUGAAAGUCUGUUGUUAAAGCGUGGAGCUCAACUCCAUUUCAGCAAUGGAAACUAGAAGACUAGAGUGUGGUAGGGGCAGAGGGAAUUCCCGGUGUAGCGGUGAAAUGCGUAGAUAUCGGGAAGAACACCAGUGGCGAAGGCGCUCUGCUGGGCCAUAACUGACGCUCAUGGACGAAAGCCAGGGGAGCGAAAGGGAUUAGAUACCCCUGUAGUCCUGGCCGUAAACGAUGAACACUAGGUGUCGGGGGAAUCGACCCCCUCGGUGUCGUAGCCAACGCGUUAAGUGUUCCGCCUGGGGAGUACGCACGCAAGUGUGAAACUCAAAGGAAUUGACGGGGGCCCGCACAAGCGGUGGAGUAUGUGGUUUAAUUCGAUGCAACGCGAAGAACCUUACCAGGGUUUGACAUCCUGCGAAUCCCUUGGAAACUUGGGAGUGCCUUCGGGAGCGCAGUGACAGGUGGUGCAUGGCUGUCGUCAGCUCGUGUCGUGAGAUGUUGGGUUAAGUCCCGCAACGAGCGCAACCCACGUCUUUAGUCGCCAGCAUUAAGUUGGGCACUCUAGAGAGACUGCCGGUGAUAAACCGGAGGAAGGUGUGGAUGACGUCAAGUCAUCAUGCCCCUUACAUCCUGGGCUACACACGUACUACAAUGCUACGGACAAAGGGCAGCAAACUCGCGAGAGCUAGCAAAUCCCAUAAACCGUGGCUCAGUUCAGAUCGUAGGCUGCAACUCGCCUACGUGAAGGAGGAAUCGCUAGUAAUCGCAGGUCAGCAUACUGCGGUGAAUACGUUCCCGGGCCUUGUACACACCGCCCGUCACACUAUGGAAGUUGGCCACGCCCGAAGUCGUUACUCCAACCCGCAAGGGAGGAGGAUGCCGAAGGUGGGGCUGAUGACUGGGGUGAAGUCGUAUCAAGGUA
Molecule: ribosomal RNA, 1442 nt
Filed under: metagenome
Description: bacterial SSU rRNA
Rfam family: Bacterial small subunit ribosomal RNA
Source: RNAcentral